RNAcentral lists this microRNA (22 nucleotides) under Ptychodera flava. Its description in RNAcentral is "Pfl-Mir-315_3p* (star (passenger))". Lineage: Eukaryota; Metazoa; Hemichordata; Enteropneusta; Ptychoderidae. The record is from RNAcentral.
CUUUCGGGAAACAGUCAAGCCG